Molecule: long non-coding RNA, 473 nt
Organism: Hibiscus syriacus
Lineage: Eukaryota; Viridiplantae; Streptophyta; Magnoliopsida; Malvales; Malvaceae
Exons: 6
Source: RefSeq, a predicted model, not a curated record
UUGUGGAAAUUCACAGCAAGUGGUUCACCUAAAGUUAAUGAUACGAGACCUCUGCUUUGUUUUAGUGCAGAUACAGUUCCAAUUAGAUCAGUUGCAUGGGCCCCAUCAAGUGAUAUGGAGAGCUCAAAUGUUAUUCUUACCGCUGGACAUGGAGGUCUUAAGUUUUGGGACAUACGUGAUCCAUUUCUUCCAUUGUGGGAUGUCCAUCCGGCACCAAAGUUCAUGUAUAGUGUGGAUUGGCCGCUAGAACCAAGAUGUGUUAUGAUAUCCUUGACGAUGGAACAAUGAGACUUCUCAGCUUAGUUCAUGCAGCAUGUGACGUUCCUGGCACUGGAAAACCUUUUGGGGGGACCAAGCAACAAGGACUGCACCUUUAUAAUUGUUCAUCCUUUGCCAUCUGGAGUGUACAAGUGUCGCAGUUAACAGGUAUGGUGGCAUAUUGCGGUGCAGAUGGUGCUACAACGUGCUUUCAG